CACCACAAAACCCGUGGACCUUAAAAUUUCCAGGAAAGGAGCAGCAACUGUGCCACUGAGCUGGGGCCUCGUGUCUGUCUUACCCUAAACUCAUGGUUUUACAGGUCAGAAUGGCCCUGGGAUGGAGGUCUCCACAGCUGAGGAUGGGAAUGCUUUGAGCCUGGAAGGCAAUUUUUCCAACAAGUUGAUUUAUGGAAUUGGCUGGCAAAGCCUUGAAUACAUUGAGAAAUACAACUUCUACAAUGGACCAACACAUCCUUAAGGAAUGAAUGGUUCCUCUUUAAACUGGGAGCUGUGCUCCUGGCUGCUCCGAGCACCUUGGGAACGGAGGAGGAUUAGGACCAGGCUGUGAACUGUGGUGUUUGUCCUGCUGUGUAAACCUGUACUGGGCUAAUGGAGGAGCUCCCAUCUCAGCUGCUGGAUGUGUGCCGAAGAAAUGGAGUGAAACACAGAAGUGGUCACAGACUAUAGACCUGCACCUAUACAAGAUUUGGAAUUUUGCAUCUGUAGUGAUUUUCGUCUUUUUUUCCAAAGAAUCAUA
Long non-coding RNA from Pipra filicauda (Wire-tailed manakin), 541 nucleotides. RefSeq lists it as uncharacterized. The transcript has 3 exons. The record is from RefSeq and is a predicted model, not a curated record. NCBI's taxonomy places the organism in Eukaryota, Metazoa, Chordata, Aves, Passeriformes, Pipridae.